RNAcentral lists this ribosomal RNA (1571 nucleotides) under Klebsiella pneumoniae. RNAcentral describes it as "16S ribosomal RNA". It matches the Rfam family "Bacterial small subunit ribosomal RNA". The record is from RNAcentral. Lineage: Bacteria; Pseudomonadati; Pseudomonadota; Gammaproteobacteria; Enterobacterales; Enterobacteriaceae.
AGAGUUUGAUCAUGGCUCAGAUUGAACGCUGGCGGCAGGCCUAACACAUGCAAGUCGAGCGGUAGCACAGAGAGCUUGCUCUCGGGUGACGAGCGGCGGACGGGUGAGUAAUGUCUGGGAAACUGCCUGAUGGAGGGGGAUAACUACUGGAAACGGUAGCUAAUACCGCAUAACGUCGCAAGACCAAAGUGGGGGACCUUCGGGCCUCAUGCCAUCAGAUGUGCCCAGAUGGGAUUAGCUAGUAGGUGGGGUAACGGCUCACCUAGGCGACGAUCCCUAGCUGGUCUGAGAGGAUGACCAGCCACACUGGAACUGAGACACGGUCCAGACUCCUACGGGAGGCAGCAGUGGGGAAUAUUGCACAAUGGGCGCAAGCCUGAUGCAGCCAUGCCGCGUGUGUGAAGAAGGCCUUCGGGUUGUAAAGCACUUUCAGCGGGGAGGAAGGCGNUCGAUUGACGUUACCCGCAGAAGAAGCACCGGCUAACUCCGUGCCAGCAGCCGCGGUAAUACGGAGGGUGCAAGCGUUAAUCGGAAUUACUGGGCGUAAAGCGCACGCAGGCGGUCUGUCAAGUCGGAUGUGAAAUCCCCGGGCUCAACCUGGGAACUGCAUUCGAAACUGGCAGGCUAGAGUCUUGUAGAGGGGGGUAGAAUUCCAGGUGUAGCGGUGAAAUGCGUAGAGAUCUGGAGGAAUACCGGUGGCGAAGGCGGCCCCCUGGACAAAGACUGACGCUCAGGUGCGAAAGCGUGGGGAGCAAACAGGAUUAGAUACCCUGGUAGUCCACGCCGUAAACGAUGUCGAUUUGGAGGUUGUGCCCUUGAGGCGUGGCUUCCGGAGCUAACGCGUUAAAUCGACCGCCUGGGGAGUACGGCCGCAAGGUUAAAACUCAAAUGAAUUGACGGGGGCCCGCACAAGCGGUGGAGCAUGUGGUUUAAUUCGAUGCAACGCGAAGAACCUUACCUGGUCUUGACAUCCACAGAACUUUCCAGAGAUGGAUUGGUGCCUUCGGGAACUGUGAGACAGGUGCUGCAUGGCUGUCGUCAGCUCGUGUUGUGAAAUGUUGGGUUAAGUCCCGCAACGAGCGCAACCCUUAUCCUUUGUUGCCAGCGGUNNNNNNNNNNNNNNNNNNNNNNNNNNNNNNNNNNNNNNNNNNNNNNNNNNNNNNNNNNNNNNGGCCGGGAACUCAAAGGAGACUGCCAGUGAUAAACUGGAGGAAGGUGGGGAUGACGUCAAGUCAUCAUGGCCCUUACGACCAGGGCUACACACGUGCUACAAUGGCAUAUACAAAGAGAAGCGACCUCGCGAGAGCAAGCGGACCUCAUAAAGUAUGUCGUAGUCCGGAUUGGAGUCUGCAACUCGACUCCAUGAAGUCGGAAUCGCUAGUAAUCGUAGAUCAGAAUGCUACGGUGAAUACGUUCCCGGGCCUUGUACACACCGCCCGUCACACCAUGGGAGUGGGUUGCAAAAGAAGUAGGUAGCUUAACCUUCGGGAGGGCGCUUACCACUUUGUGAUUCAUGACUGGGGUGAAGUCGUAACAAGGUAACCGUAGGGGAACCUGCGGUUGGAUCACCU